GACGAACGCUGGCGGCGUGCUUAACACAUGCAAGUCGAACGGAAAGGCCCUGCUUGCAGGGUACUCGAGUGGCGAACGGGUGAGUAACACGUGGGUGAUCUGCCCUGCACUUCGGGAUAAGCCUGGGAAACUGGGUCUAAUACCGGAUAGGAGCCAUUUUUAGUGUGAUGGUUGGAAAGUUUUUUCGGUGUAGGAUGAGCUCGCGGCCUAUCAGCUUGUUGGUGGGGUAAUGGCCUACCAAGGCGGCGACGGGUAGCCGGCCUGAGAGGGUGGACGGCCACAUUGGGACUGAGAUACGGCCCAGACUCCGACGGGAGGCAGAAGUGGGGAAUAUUGCACAAUGGGCGCAAGCCGGAUGCAGCGACGCCGCGUGGGGGAUGACGGCCUUCGGGUUGUAAACUCCGUUCGCUAGGGACGAAGCUUUUUGUGACGGUACCUAGAUAAGAAGCACCGGCUAACUACGUG
This 465-nucleotide ribosomal RNA is filed under the name uncultured bacterium. RNAcentral's name for it is "partial 16S ribosomal RNA". It matches the Rfam family "Bacterial small subunit ribosomal RNA", at positions 28 to 507 of the family's 1533-position model. The record is from RNAcentral.